Molecule: ribosomal RNA, 477 nt
Filed under: uncultured anaerobic ammonium-oxidizing bacterium
Lineage: Bacteria
Description: bacterial SSU rRNA
Rfam family: Bacterial small subunit ribosomal RNA
Source: RNAcentral
UUCGCAAUGCCCGAAAGGGUGACGAAGCGACGCCGCGUGGGUGAGGAAGGCCUUCGGGUUGUAAAGCCCUGUCAGGAGUUAAGAAAUGUAAGUGUGCUAAUAUCGCAUUUACUUGACGAAGGCUCCAAAGGAAGUCACGGCUAACUCUGUGCCAGCAGCCGCGGUAAUGCAGAGGUGGCAAGCGUUGUUCGGUAUUAUUGGGCGUAAAGAGCACGUAGGUGGGUUUGUAAGUCAGAUGUGAAAGCCUCCUGUUCAACGGGAGAAUUGCAUCUGAAACUACUGAUCUUGAGUGUAGGAGGGGAGAAUGGAACUUCUGGUGGAGCGGUGAAAUGCGUAGAUAUCAGAAGGAACGUCGGCGGCGAAAGCGACUCUCUGGCCUAUUACUGACACUGAGUGUGCGAAAGUUAGGGGAGCAAACGAGAUUAGAUACCCCGGUAGUCCUAACUGUAAACGAUGGGCACUAAGUAGAGGGGUUUU